GUGCUUGCUUCCGCAAUGCAUAUGCUAAAACCGGAACGAUGCGGAGAAGAUUAGCAUGGACCCUGAGGGAGGAUGGCAUCCAAAUUUGUGAAGCAUUCUCUACGAAA
This is a small nuclear RNA of Panthera pardus (leopard), 107 nucleotides long. Lineage: Eukaryota; Metazoa; Chordata; Mammalia; Carnivora; Felidae. The record is from Ensembl.